CCUACGGGUGGCAGCAGUCGAGAAUCAUUCACAAUGGGGGAAACCCUGAUGGUGCGACGCCGCGUGGGGGAAUGAAGGUCUUCGGAUUGUAAACCCCUGUCAUGUGGGAGCAAAUUAAAAAGCUAGUACCCCAAGAGGAAGAGACGGCUAACUCGGUGCCAGCAGCCGCGGUAAUACAGAGGGCUCAAGCGGUGUUCGGAAUCACUGGGCGGAAAGCGUGCGUAGGCUGUUUCGUAAGUCGUGUGUGAAAGGCGCGGGCUCAACCCGCGGACGGCCCAUGAUACUGCGAGACUAGAGUAAGGGAGGGGGAACCGGAAUGCUCGGUGUAGCAGUGAAAUGCGUAGAUAUCGAGAGGAACACUCGUGGCGAAGGCGGGUUCCUGGACAUUAACUGACGCUGAGGCACGAAGGCCAGGGGAGCGAAAGGGAUUAGAUACCCUUGUAGUC
This 446-nucleotide ribosomal RNA is filed under the name uncultured bacterium. Its description in RNAcentral is "partial 16S ribosomal RNA". It matches the Rfam family "Bacterial small subunit ribosomal RNA", at positions 338 to 795 of the family's 1533-position model. The record is from RNAcentral.